AGCGAACGCUGGCGGCAGGCCUAACACAUGCAAGUCGAACGAACCUUUCGGGGUUAGUGGCGGACGGGUGAGUAACACGUGGGAACGUGCCUUUAGGUUCGGAAUAACUCAGGGCAACUUGUGCUAAUACCGAAUGUGCCCUUCGGGGGAAAGAUUAAUCGCCUUUAGAGCGGCCCGCGUCUGAUUAGCUAGUUGGUUGAGGUAAUGGCUCACCCAGGCGACGAUCAGUAGCUGGUCUGAGAGGAUGAUCAGCCACAUUGGGACUGAGACACGGCCCAAAAUCCUACGGGAGGCAGCAGUGGGGAAUCUUGCGCAAUGGGCGAAAGCCUGACGCAGCCAUGCCGCGUGAAUGAUGAAGGUCUUAGGAUUGUAAAAUUCUUUCACCGGGGACGAUAAUGACGGUACCCGGAGAAGAAGCCCCGGCUAACUUCGUG
This 434-nucleotide ribosomal RNA is filed under the name uncultured bacterium. Its description in RNAcentral is "partial 16S ribosomal RNA". It matches the Rfam family "Bacterial small subunit ribosomal RNA", at positions 29 to 507 of the family's 1533-position model. The record is from RNAcentral.